RNAcentral lists this transfer RNA (83 nucleotides) under bacterium. RNAcentral's name for it is "tRNA-Leu". It matches the Rfam family "tRNA". Rfam says of the family: Transfer RNA (tRNA) molecules are approximately 80 nucleotides in length. Their secondary structure includes four short double-helical elements and three loops (D, anti-codon, and T loops). The record is from RNAcentral.
GCCGGAGUGGCGGAAUGGUUUACGCGCACGACUCAAAAUCGUGUGACCUUACGGUCAUGUGGGUUCGACUCCCUCCUCCGGUA